Molecule: long non-coding RNA, 609 nt
Filed under: Chloebia gouldiae (Gouldian finch)
Lineage: Eukaryota; Metazoa; Chordata; Aves; Passeriformes; Passeridae
Description: Erythrura gouldiae (Gouldian finch) lncRNA (ENSEGOG00005006297.1)
Source: RNAcentral
CGAACGCACCGUCCUGCCGCCUCCUGCCGCGGACACCCGGGCGGCUCUCCCGUCUCAGAUUCUCUGACUGCAGAGCCCACAGAUUGUUUUGAUGCUUUAGAAACAAAGACCAUGAGUCAUGGCAGAACACAAGGUCUUGGAUUCUGUGGGAUACAUGGCCCAAAGCAAUCAUUCCAUCAAUGCCAAGCAGCAUGGAGGUCACAUGGGAGAAGGCCUUUGCCAGGCCAAAUUUUGGGAGUGGACUGUUGGUUUGGCCCUUGCAGAGGAGCAUCUCAUGCAGAUACAUCUGCCUGCACCUGUAAACUGAGCCAGGGGAUGGAGAGGGUCCAUCACCUCCUCUUAGACCUUCCCUAUUUCCACACAAAGACAUUUUUGGUGAGCUUCUACUCCUUUUUUUAUACUAAAAAGGAAAGAAAAGAGGAAGAUACGCACUUGAUGUUAAGGAAAUCUAACAGAGCAUGCAGCAAUCCAACUGCGCAGACACAUAUGCCUCCUUCCUUCUGCUCCGUACCAGCGAGGCUGUGCCAUAUUUAGAUCUGGCUCCAUCUCUCACAAACUUGACCAACUGUUCUUCCACAGUGUCAUCUCUGCUUGUUUGCUUGUUUACCC